This is a long non-coding RNA of Symsagittifera roscoffensis, 1491 nucleotides long. RefSeq lists it as uncharacterized. Lineage: Eukaryota; Metazoa; Xenacoelomorpha; Acoela; Convolutidae. The record is from RefSeq and is a predicted model, not a curated record. The transcript has 4 exons.
CUUGUAAACAGAAAUAAUACAUUGAGCAAACUUGCAAAACUCUCUCAAUUGAUUAACUGUAUGGUUUAACUUUGAAAAAUACAAACACUUGAUAAAAUAGAAACACAUGAAAAAACUGAGUUUUGAGAAGCAAAUUUUUCACUAUAAGUGAUCGAGACAGAAAGUUGGAGCUUCAUAUUAGUCGAAACAGAAGAAAGAAGAUGAUAACUGAAGGUGAAGAAUUGCACAUUUCGAGUUUUGUGAACGCGUCUACAACAAACUGCACAGACUCAGAGCGCAAAAGUUCGACUCCUAAAUACAGUGGCGAAGAUGACUGUCGGCUUCUCCGGCCAAUCGACUGCAGUGAAACAUCAGUGCUUGCGAAAACAAGAUUUGACCGGAGAGAUAUUUUGUCUGGGGAUCACCUUGAAUCAGAAUUAAGAAAAAAAUCCAGAACCAGCUUGACAACGUAAGCCACGUAAUCAACGGAAGCCAAAUUUCAGAGCCAGCUGAAAACGAAACGACUGGGAUUAAAUUCGAAAGAAUUGGAGUUGAAACGCAAAAACUAGGUGCGAAAAGACGCGUCACAAGGCUUGACCGUGAGCUGAGCAAACUUCGAUCCGAGUUUGAUUCUGUGAUUGAGACACAUACAUGCAAAAGCAAAAGUCUUCGGAACGAAAUUCGUCAUUUGCAGAAGAAAUUGCUCGAAGAAAUUGCUUUCAAAGUUGAAAAGUCUGAGCUCAAUUUUGCAGAACUACAAAAAAGGCUGCAAGAAUCCGAGGCGGAAAGAAGACAAGCAGGAUGUGCAACAAGUAAGAAAGCUGCGUUGGCGAUAAGCAAAUCUGAAAAAGAAUCUGCGCCCACAGAAGUCGUUUUCGAAACCGAAAAGAUUCAAAAACAAAUCGAACUGUUGGAGCUUAAAAUUCAAGAAAAAGAAGCUUCGAUUGCUACUGAAUCCCAAAGUUUUCACACUGACGCCCUAGAAACUGACCUGGAAACUGAACGCCAAAAUGUUGAAAAUACCAAAACUGAACAUAUAGACGCGUGUUCAGAAUGGCUCAAAAAUGCUAAGAGAGUUCACAAGAUAUGUAUGAAGACGAAAGGAGGCCAGUCAAAAGAACUGAUAAUUGAAGGAAUUGAGUUUGAAACUGGUCAAUUUAAGCACGGCUUGCUUGGGAACCAGUCUUCACCUGACAAAGAACUGGAAACUAAGAUUAAUGAACUGGAACUAAGACUGCAAAAAACAGAAGCUGAAAAAGAAGCAAUGGCUUCAGCUGCUGAAAGCUUCAAAAAUGGGACAAUGAAGCUACGAAGUACAGCACAUGGGCUUAUUCAAGAAAUCGAUAACUUGGCAGACCAAUUAAGAAAGCAUUUGGAAUGCAACGGAAUGAACCCACCGGCAUACGAAAAUAAUUCGAAAAAACUAAAUCUGACAACAACCUAAAACACAGAAGUGCCGAACUAAAAUAUAAGUACUAAUUAUAAUAACACCACUAGCCAAACAACUCAAUA